RNAcentral lists this long non-coding RNA (3502 nucleotides) under Sus scrofa (pig). Its description in RNAcentral is "lncRNA (ENSSSCG00040005178.1)". Lineage: Eukaryota; Metazoa; Chordata; Mammalia; Artiodactyla; Suidae. The record is from RNAcentral.
UUUUUUUUUUUUUCUCAUGAGUUAGUUUUGAAUUGUAUGAAAUGGUUUUCCUGGAUAUAUUGCACAUGCCAUCUCUGUUUUUACCCACCUUAUCUAUUGAUGUAGUGAAUUUCUAUAUACAUUUUUAGUGAUAAACCAACUUGAUUAAUUUCUAGGUUAUUAGCAAUUCGACAUGACUCCUUAUAUUUUAUAUCUUAGAAAUUAUUUCUGUGCUCAAAAAUUAAAGACAAAGAAAAUCAUAAAGCCACAUUUUCCACUGUCCUAUAAAGAGGAAUAGGGCCAUCAGAGGAAUGGAACAUUUACUUAAAUAGCAAGGAAGGGAGGUGGGGGUGGGGAGUAAAGAAGGAAAGGAGUAUCUCUAAUCCAACCUCACAAGACAGCAUUUAUGUAGUUAGUAAGUUAGAGCUUAUAAAUAGAACUCAAAUAAGCUUUGCCUAUUAUAGUGGACAUUGAAUAAAUGAUAGCUAUAACUAUGAGAAAGAUGAGAGCAGAGAUAAAUGUCACUAGUUUUAGGCUAGUGUCACAGACAGGUGGUAUAAAUUUGCAAUUAAGAAUAGACUAAUGUCUGAGUCAAGAUCUCUGAUCCAUCUACUAUGUAACCUUGGGAAUGAAAGCACAGGUGUACAUGGCAUAAUAUAUAACUUUCUUUUUUUAAUGUGGUUGUCAGGUUUCAUCAAAUGGAAUUUUCCUGAGGAUUCUACUUAACUGAUUUUGGGUUAUCUGAGAGUACAGUAUAUUAAUGUUUUGGUAUAAAAAUAAAUUGACUUUAAGUUAGGGCUGUGUUUACUUAUUUUGGUCAAGAUGUUAAUAAAGGCAUAUUAUAUAUUGAUAAAAGUGUUUAUCUGUUGUAAAAGCAAGCAGAAUCAAGAAACGAUUUUAAACUUGACAGAUGUCCUAUGAGCAUGAGUUACGACUUUGAAGACUUUCUGUUUCCAUUUUGUUAUUAAAAUAUGAUGUGUAUGUGUGUGUCAUUGUGUGUAUGCUUAUGUGUUUAAAACUUGUAGAUGAGUAAUAUUUGGUAUAAAAACUUUUAUUUCUGAUUAUUUUAAAUUUGGUUAAAUUGUUUUAUUUUUACAAAAAUAAGAUCAGAUAAUGAUUGACAAAAUAGCUUUGUGUUUUAGUUUUGUUAAGGAGUCUGGACCAGUUCAUAGUUUAUAUUUUUCUAAGAUCUAAAGAAAAUUUUUUAAAUCAAAACACUUCUAUUAGUAUCUGUAAAACUACAAAAAAACAAGUAAAAAUAUGUUUAGACAUUAGGUAUAAGCUGUUAACAUUUUACAGUUUUUAGUUUUCAGUUUUACCAUAUGAAUAAUUACAAAAGUGAAAUUAAAAAUAAUGAUCAAGGUCAGGAUUUUAGUUUAUUUUAGCAUAGUUAAUGUAUGCUUAGAAGUACAUGUAGGAGUUCCUGUUGUGGCUCAACGGUUAACGAAUCUGCCUAGGAUUCAUAAGGAUGCAGGUUUGAUCCCUGGCCUUGCUGAGUGGGUUAAGGAUCUGGCGUUGCUCUGAGCUGUAAUGUAGGUUGCAGACAUGUCUCAGAUCCUGUGUUGCUGUGGCUGUGGUGUAGGCCAGCAGCUGUAUCUCCGAUUCAGCCCCUAGCCUGGGAACCUCCAUAUGCUAUGAGUGUGCCCCCCCCCAAAAAAAAUACGUAUAAGUUCAGUUUUGUUAUAUUCAUCAAGUAGUAGUCAAUUAAAUAUUAAUUUAGUAUCUGAUUAAUGGCAGGCUCUAUUCUAAAUGCCAAGGAGACAAAAAUCAAAGCAAAAUAAACUCUUUCAAAUCCCUGUUUUCACGAACUUUGCAGUGCAGAAGAGAGGAUAUGCAGUAACACAAAUAAUUAAAGUUUAUUGUUUGUUAGAUGAUGAAAAACUAAAAUAAAGAAAGAAAAGAAGGGUUCCUAACACAGCUUAGUGGUAAUGAACCAGACUAGGAUCCAUGAGGAUGCAGGGUUUGUUUUUUGUUUUUGUCUUUUUGUUUUUUUAGGGCCACACCCAUGGCAUAUGGAUGUUCCCAGGCUAGGGGUCCAAUUGGAGCUGUUGCAGCUGGCCUACGCCAGAGCCACAGCAACACCAGAUCUGAGUGUGUCUACGACCUUCACCACAGCUCAUGGCAAUGCCAGAUCCAUAACCCACUGAGCGAGGCCAGGGAAUUGAACUUGCAACCUCAUGGUUCCUAGUCAGAUUCAUUUUCGCUGUGCCACGACAGGAACUCUGAGGAUACAGAUCCCUGGUCUCAAUCAUUGGGCUAAGGAUACAGAGUUGCUGUGGUGGUGUAGGUCACACUUGCAGCUCAGAUCUUGCGUUACUGUAGCUGUGGUGUAGGCCAGCAGCUGUAGCUCCAAUUUGACCCCCAGUGUGGGAACUUCCAUAUGCUGUCCCUGCAGCCCUAAAAAGCAAAAGAAAAAAAGGGGGGAUGGUUAGGAAAUGCCAAAUGUGAGGCUAUUCAUUCAGGUUGUUUUUUUUUUGGGGGGGGGGGAAUCUUUUUGUCUUUUCUAGGGGCAUAUGGAGGUUUCCAGACUAGGAGUCUAAUCUGAGUUGUAGCCGCCGGCCUAUGCCACAGCCACAGCAACGCGGGAUCUGAGCCACACCGGCGACCCACACCACAGCUCAUUGCAAUGCCGGAUCCUCAACCCACUGAGCAAGGCCAGGGAUAGAACCUGCAACCUCAUGGUUCCUAGUAGGAUUCAUUAACCACUGAGCCACGACUGGAGCUCCUUAUUCAGUUUUAAAUAAGGAGACCUUAUUUAAAAGGUUAGGUCUCACUGAGUAAGUAUCAUUUGACUUAAAAUCUAAAGAAGGUGAAGGAAGGGGCUUUGUGGGUAUCCAUUAUCUAAACAGAAGGAAUAGUAACUGCUGAAGAGCUGAGGAAGGAAGUGGGCUUGAAACAUUUAAGGUAUGGCUAGGACCUCUUAUGGUUGGGACAGAGUAAGUAAGAUAGAAGUAUGUUACAGAAGUGAGAGAGGUAAUAGGGUGAGCAAAUGAUAAGAGACAGAGUCUUCCAGGUCAUUAUAACAAUUUUGGCUUUUACUAUAAGAUGGGAGAAUUGGAAAGUUUUUGAGUCAGGGAUGAGUAUAGGAGAAACAUGAUUUGGUAGGAGGGUUAGAAGAGGUUUUCAGAGCAGAGACUCAGUUUGGGACAAGUGUGGAAAGCCUAUUCUUGAUUUAGCCGAAUGAGCAGAAUCAAGAAAUGAAACUACAUGGUCUCUACCUCACAAAAUCUGUUCUGAUGUUAUAGAGUUAAUAAAGAGUAUUGAAUCCCAAGCAUGUUAUCAAAUUCCUUCUAAAAUUCAGGUACUAUGUUAGGAAAAGAUUUCAUGGUGACUUUAAACAUUUCCUACUAUGAAGGGGCUUUUAUGAGAUUGACAAGUGCAAUGUAUUCUACUUUUACAAGGGUAAGGACUAUCUUAUACAAACACGUACAAAUGAGAUUCCCCUUCUGUUAUGUCUUUGGAAGGGUAACGAUGUGCAGGUAAAUGCUGUGGGAUGAAAGGAAUUAGUAGGAUAAAUUUGUAG